Molecule: long non-coding RNA, 2154 nt
Filed under: Homo sapiens (human)
Lineage: Eukaryota; Metazoa; Chordata; Mammalia; Primates; Hominidae
Description: HSALNT0265444
Source: RNAcentral
AAAUAUUAUAACUGAAAGGUGACAACUGCAUUUUCCCUCAUAUGAAGCCCAAUCCCCCUCUGGGACUCUUUGGCAGAGUUGAGAACAUCCACACGGAUAAUCCAAGUAGAAGCGGUCAGUGCACAGCACUAGUCCACCCCAUUAGCUAUGGAGCAACAAUGGUCAUCUCCAGGGUUUCUACACAAGACUCCAGCUCCUGAUGAAUAAGGGAAAAAAUUGUAUCAUUUCUGCUUGGCCUAGGUCUCUGUACCUCCUGAAAAUUUCCAUGGUGUUUGAGUUCUCAUUUUGUGGACUGUAUGGAAUUAAUCAAGCUCUGGCCACUGGUUUAACCACAGACUUGUCUGUACUCUUCUAUGGUUUCCCACAGCAGUGGAGGUGUGCAAUGUCCCUGAUCCAAGGGCUCCUUUCAGGUUGCCUGAAGUCCUUCAAGAUCAAGAAACCGUUUGGAAUUAAGGACACCAAACCUCGUGAGAUAUUUUGUUUUGUUUUUUUAAAACAGAAAAUGAAGGUGGUAAAUCGAAGGCUCAUCUGCAAUGAUGAAGACUAAAACUCCCCCCUGGAGUGAAGCAAGGCUGAGAGACAGAAGAGAGAAUGUCCUGGGUUCCAAUCAGAGAGGAGGACUGUGGUUCAUUGCAGUGGGGCGGACCAAGGGGCUCCCUGGUCCCCUGCUUCCAAGAGCUCCCAUAUCCUGACAGUCUAACAGUAAAACAAACAAACAGACAAAACCAAAACCAAAAUUUCAAGAGUGGAAAGGAGUUUUUCCCCAGAUUGACAUUCAAAUUCAUCUGACCACGAGUUUUGGGAGGCAUGACAUAUGAUGCAGUACUCCUGCAGGUAUUCUUUUGUGAAGUGGCUAUCCAGAUGUAAAAAAAAGUACAAGACAAAAGCUGUCAUCAAGGGAUUCAUGGUUUAGUUGAAGAUAAAAGAAUAGGCCUUAAAGGAAUCCACGAGUGAGGUUACCGCGGAGAACAGAGAACUGCAGGGAGUUUCCGCGUGGAGCCCCCCGAAGCUGGACAGUGAGGCUGCAGACCCUGGCUGUUCACUAACUGAUGUGUAUGACCUUGACACAUAGACUGGUGACAGGACCUCUGAGCUUCAGCUUUCACAUCCAAAAAGUGAAGACGAUGUGGCACCCACCUCACAGGUUCCAAGGAGCAUGAAAUGCCAUCACUGUGCUGUACUUGGAGCUCUAAAAUGUGUGGGGAAGGGUAUCCACAACAAUGGCUGAUAGAACGUCCUGGAGUCACAAAGAACAAGCACUCUUAGGAAAGGUGCCAUUUUAGUUAGAUAUGACACAAUGAAUCGGGUUUGGAUCAGGAGGGAAGGACUGUCUAUUUCAGGAAGUGGAAAAAAGAAGAAUGAGCAAUAAGUCUUCAUCUGCCUUUGUGUCCCCACAUUAUGUCUUGUCUUCCAGGUCUUAUGGAAACACUUCCCUCAUGUAAAAGAGAAAAAAAUAAACAUAGUCGUAUUACAUUUUGGGUGAAACAUUUAAAAUCAGAGACAUCACGCACAGCUUUGCUGCAUACUAAAAGCCUAAAGGAGAAAGAGGAACAGAAAAAUGUUGUUUAAUUUGAAUGGAUGUUGGAGGAAAGAAUGAUCUUCAAAUAGUUCAGAGUCCUGUCUUUUGGCUGAAAUCCAUUUCUAAGUAAAACUCUCCAUAGUGCCCUCCCUGCCCUUCUUCCCCACCCUUCCUGUCCUAACCAGCUCUUCCCCAGAACAGCUCUCACCUUCCCAAAGCAGAAUAAAGCCCAGGACAAUGUUGAAGGAAAACUGCACUUUUACAUUUCUAGAUGAUUUCCUAACAGAAAAUAUAUGAACUCUCGGAACUAAAACUUAGCUGAGGAUUCCAAGCUCCAACCUAGGACCUGAAGAAACCAAGUUCAUUGGGUGACUUACAAAUGUGUUGAUUAUAACUCUCUUCAUAGAAUGACAUCAGGACAUUUGAAUAUGAAAUUAAAGAAUUUACUCACCCGCCUUUAUACUUCCAUCAGGCCAAGCAGCUGGAAAGACAGUUUUUGCUUUUUUCAGAACAUUGGGAUAUUCACUUUCAUUAACAUUAAACAAGCUGAAAAGUUGUUGAAGUUUCCUUGAGAUGUUUGUAAAGAAUAGUGGAGCAAACAUUUGGAAAUUUGGGCGAGGCAGGAUGCAUCUCCA